KCMUCAGAAUGAACGUUGGCGGCGUGGAUUAGGCAUGCAAGUCGAGCGAGAAACUCACUUCGGUGAGCGGAAAGCGGCGCAAGGGAGAGUAACGCGUAGAUACCUGCCCUCGGGUUCGGGAUAGCCAUGGGAAACUGUGGGUAAUACCGGAUAAUGUCUCCGGACCAAAGAUUUAUUGCCCGAGGAUGGGUCUGCGUCCUAUUAGCUUGUUGGUGGGGUAAUGGCCUACCAAGGCCGAGAUGGGUAGCGGGCGUGAGAGCGUGGCCCGCCUCACUGGGACUGAGACACUGCCCAGACACCUACGGGUGGCUGCAGUCGAGAAUCUUCCGCAAUGGGCGAAASCUGACGGAGCGACGCCGCGUGCGGGAUGAAGGCCUUCGGGUUGUAAACCGCUGUCAGUGGGGAGCAAAUCCAGUUUACUGGUUGAGCUAUCCGCAGAGGAAGCACAGGCUAAGUUCGUGCCAGCAGCCGCGGUAACACGAACUGUGCGAACGUUAUUCGGAAUCAUUGGGCUUAAAGAGUUCGUAGGCGGCUUAAUAAGUCGGGUGUGAAAUCCCUCGGCUCAACCGAGGAACUGCGCCCGAUACUGUUAAGCUUGAGGGAGACAGAGGUGAGCGGAACUGAUGGUGGAGCGGUGAAAUGCGUUGAUAUCAUCAGGAACACCGGUGGCGAAAGCGGCUCGCUGGGUCUCUUCUGACGCUGAGGAACGAAAGCUAGGGGAGCGAACGGGAUUAGAUACCCCGGUAGUCCUAGCCGUAAACGAUGA
RNAcentral lists this ribosomal RNA (766 nucleotides) under uncultured Planctomycetota bacterium. RNAcentral describes it as "bacterial SSU rRNA". It matches the Rfam family "Bacterial small subunit ribosomal RNA", at positions 21 to 812 of the family's 1533-position model. The record is from RNAcentral. Lineage: Bacteria; Pseudomonadati; Planctomycetota.